Molecule: long non-coding RNA, 323 nt
Organism: Astyanax mexicanus (Mexican tetra)
Lineage: Eukaryota; Metazoa; Chordata; Actinopteri; Characiformes; Acestrorhamphidae
Exons: 3
Source: RefSeq, a predicted model, not a curated record
GAGAGGGGGAAGAGGUAGAGAGAGAGACAAGAGAGAGAGACAAGAGAGAGAGACAAGAGAGAGAGACAAGAGAGAGAGGGGGGAAGAGGUAGAGAAGAGGAGAGUGAGGGAAGAGAGGUAGAAGAGAGGUAGAAGAGAGGUAGAGAAGAGGUAGAGAAGAGGUAGAGAGGGAAGAGAGAGAGGGAAAAGAGAGAGAAGAGUGACAGAGAUGAGAGAGGGGGAAGAGGUAGAGAAGAGGAGAGAGGGUGAGAGAAGGUGAGAGAAGGUGAGAGAGGGUGAGAGAGGGUGAAGAGGUAGAGAAGAGGUAGAGAAGAGGUAGAGGA